This 3986-nucleotide long non-coding RNA is filed under the name Macaca mulatta (Rhesus monkey). RNAcentral's name for it is "lncRNA (ENSMMUG00000050907.1)". Lineage: Eukaryota; Metazoa; Chordata; Mammalia; Primates; Cercopithecidae. The record is from RNAcentral.
CUUGUAUUUCUUGACUUGAUCUUCUUCAUUCUUUCUGUCACAUUUUAGUUAAUUCUUUCACCAGUCCUCACUGAGAUAUUGCAAUAAUUUCCAAGAGGACCCUUUUGUCUGAAGAUUUUGCCCCCUUCAAAUUAUCUCUAAGAAGGAUCUCCUGUUUUUAUCCCAGUGCUAAGCCUCCAAUGGUGCUUCACUUCUUCCGGAAGAUGCACAGCUCAGCAGGCCACACAGGGCUCAGCAGGUCACAGCCACAGAUUCUCACAGGCAAAGACGAGAGGAUGGAUAAACAAGGGUUUGCCAAGGAGAAGAUGCCAGUGUCACACUUUCUCCCUCAGUGUGUUCAGAUGGGAUUGGAAAGUCUCCCUGGCCACACAGGUAAGAAUUCUGUUGCUAAUCUUCUGCACACCCAGCCUCUAUUCUCCCUCACUCACCCACGCUUAGGUUUAUCCAAGCCAGCCAAGUGGCCAGGUAGAUAAUUAUAUUUCUUAAAUUCUUUUGAAGUUAUGCCUGCCUACUUAACACAUCUCUGGAAGAAGGCAUACUGAGAUUUCUGAGAAAACCUUGCUUUCCAUACAUGGAUGUUGCCUUGUCUUUUACUGUAUCUCCUUCCCUUCUUUGACAAGUUGUCAAAGCAUGGUGGAUGAUACAGUGGUUAAAAGAUGCUGCAGUAUGAGUUGAUAAAAUGAUAUCACAAUAAACUGUAUGCAUAGUUCUUGUUACAAAAAAAAAAGUCAUCAGAUUUGCUUAAUUUACUGUUGCUUUUCACGGUCAAAAACAGUCUUUGACAUAAAACAAGUCGAUAAUAGAUAUUGCCUUUGACUAAGAAAAAAGACAUGUAAUACUCCAGUUGAUAAAAUAUUUGGAGAUGCAUUUAGCAACUUUUAGUUUUACUAGUAGCCUAGUUACUAUCUUGGGGACCCACCAAUCAGCUGAUAAUGUGUGUGAAAUAUGAAGAAGUAUAUUGACAAAACACACCAAUGAUUGAUUUUGGCCCAACAACAAACUAAUAGCACUUUGAAAACAGGGUAUCAAGAGUCAAUAAUGAGGGUCUUUUUGACAAAAGCUAGACGUUGUAUCAGUGUAAACAUUUACCAUCCCUUCUAUGAAUAGACGGACACAGAAUCGCAAUAAAACCUGGAUUCACUAUGACUCAACCAAUCAGAUCACUCAGUUUUGGGGAAUACACUUUUUGAAGAAAAUUUGAAACUGCUGGCUGUAAUAAGUAUUUAACCAGUAGUUUCAAAGCUUUUGGUGUGUAUCACCCUAUCUUCAGAAAGCAAAGAGUGUAACCAUCUGAACUAAAAGAAAAUAAAGUCACUAAGCAUUUUGCACGGGAAGCAUGCCGCUGGGUGCCAAGUGUGAGUGUGUGAAGCACUCUACAGCAGAGGGACAAUGUUAAGUCCACUUUUAAAAACCAGGUACAGUGUCAUCAGGAGAAAGGGCAAUUCCAUGCUGCUAAAUGCAAUCAAAUCAAAACCCAAGAACACGUAGCAAGAAGAUCUGAAACCUGAAGACCAGUCCAUUAGGCGCUUCGGGCAUCGCCUCUACUCACACACCAAGUGUGAGUAGAGGUGCCUGGUUCGUAUCUUCAGAAACUCUCUUUCUUAGGACUACAAUGUGUUUUCUCAGUUUGCCAAAGGAUGCUGUCUGCCUGCAGGUGCACGGUGGGUCCAACUCUGACCCCUGACGCUGCCUUUUCUAGGGUGUCUCCUCUGCUCCAAGGGUUGGACAAAUGGGAACUUGUUUCUGGAGAUCCCUUGCCAGUUGGGUUUGUUUAUAACCCACCAGUGAGAAGCUUUGAAGCUAUUUCAAAGACGAAAGAGAACCAGAAGUCACUCUCUGACUACCCCAAAAGCACAGGAGGAAUGGCCAAGAUUCAGCAGACAGGAGAAUGUGGAGCAAGUUGGGGCUUCCCCACAGGGCUUGGAUGAUCUCUGCUGCUCUCCUGUGACUUCCGUAAUUUCCUGGUGCUCUGCAAGUGAUCAGCCAGCAUAAGGUGAUGCCCUGGAAUUCCCCAACUCUUUUAUUGCUUUUGUGGGCACCACAUUUCCUGUGUCAGAGUCUCUCCUGCUCAAGAUACCAAAAGUGACACCACCCUAAGAUAUGGAAACACAGACCCUGAACUACCUUGAAUACCCUCAAAAUGACCAAGUGUUGAGUGUUUCAUUUACUCAGUGAAAUUCCUUCCCUUAAGUCUACUACAUCAUUAAUUUUUAGUAAAUUUCUCAUUGUUAGAUAAUGAUAAUUAAAUCCACCAUAUAAGCAAUAGAGAAAAUUAAUUUCAUUAUAAUUUAGAAUCAUAUUAACAGAAAAUAAAAAAUGCAUGGACCUUCCAUGGAUCCAAUCCUAGUCAUCAUUUUAGCAACUGUCCAUAAAGAGGUACUUGUGAUAUCAUUCUACCCAUAUGUGCCUUACUUAGUUUUUUGGGGAGGAGAUCAUGGAUAAAAUGUGCUAUUUUAGAAAUUAGAAGGUCCAACAAGAAUAUAAUUAUCCAUUUAAAUGGCUCAUUUAAUAACUUAACUCCAGUAGAGGUCCUUCAAGACAUUUCUCUUCACUUCCUUAUUUUGCUCCAAAAAAAGUCUGGCUUAGGACAGGUUCCUGAGAAGCAGAGUUUGACAUGAAGGUGCUUGUGUAAAGGCUACAUUGAGGAGUGCAGCCUGCAGAGACCAAUGAGAAACCAAAAAAGCAGGACAAGGAAGGGGAAGAAAAUACCCAGUGUGUCGUAGACUGCAGCCUGGCUCAGCUGGCUCCUACGGGGAGCCCUGUGGUGUGCACAGUGUCCCAGAGCCUUUCCACCUUGAGACCAGGGGACUUUCAGACCUUCUUGUCAGUUUGCUAUAGGCUGUAGGGUGCCCCUAAUUGGAAAUGGACACAAUCUCCCAAGCAUUUCUCAGGAGUCAGCCCAAGCCAGAAUGAGGGCAAAUGUCUGGGAAAUUUUUUUUUAAAGCAGCUGUGAGUGGGUGGUACUCAAAACUCACAACAGCUGAGGGCUGGAGUUACAGUCCCUUGAAAGGAAUCAAGGCAAGUCACUAUAACGUUAAGCCACUAUCAGAGUCAUUGACUGCUGUUUUUGAAGAUUGUGUGUGUUUCUAUGGCCUAAGUGUCAAAAGGAGAUAAAAGAGAUGAACUCAUAGCUGUUUCUGAUUCUUCUUCCUCCAUCCAUCCUAUUUAUUACUGAGUAUUUGAUGCCUCCACUUUACUUAGUUUUUCUCCUCCCAUGUCUUUAUGUAAGUGUAAGGAAAUGCAAAUACACAGCCGCAUGCAUCCUUCCCUUUCCUUCUGUGCAGGAUCCACGACAGCAUAGCGUGUCGGAGUUCACUGCUUACUGUUCUAAUGCAGUGCCAGCCUAUCUGCGUUGCCAUAAAGGAAUAUCUAAGACUGAGUGAUCGAUGAAGAACACAGGUUUGUUUUGGCUCAUGGUUCUGCAGGCUGUAUAGAAAGAACAGUGCUGGUAUCUGCUACUGGUGAAGCCUUAGGAGGAUUCCAGUCAUGGCAGGAGGCAAAGGGAGAGCCAGCAAGUCCCAUGGUGAGAAAAAGCAAGAUAGGGAGUGAGGGAGAGCCAGGCUCCUUUAAACAACCAGGGCUUGCAUAGACUUGUAGAGUGAGAACUCACUCAUUUCCACGGAGUGGAUGCCAAGCCAUUCAUGGGGAAUCCACCCAUACGACUAAAUGCCUCCCGUCAGGCCCCACCUCCAACACUGGAGAUCACUUUUCAACAUGAGAUUUGGAGGGGAAAGAUAUCCAAACAAUGUCAUAUGCUUUGCUUUUCUCACUUGCAACUAUAUUCUAGAAGUCUUUCCAUGUCAGUACACAGAGACUAUCCCCAUUAUUUCAGUUGUGCUGAGGAAGCAUCAUUGACUGAGAUAGCCAUUUCUCACUAGACUCUCACUGUGGAGACAUUAACUCAUCCAUGUUCGUAAAACUCCAUUCACAUGGACACACCGUGUGUUGGUGCUGCUUCAUCAGACAUCGUGUUAGCAAAGCAGCCA